Molecule: unclassified non-coding RNA, 303 nt
Filed under: Hevea brasiliensis (rubber tree)
Lineage: Eukaryota; Viridiplantae; Streptophyta; Magnoliopsida; Malpighiales; Euphorbiaceae
Source: RNAcentral
CACAUACUCUCCUCCAAAAAUUUACAAACUUUACCAACAGAAAAAACCGAAAAACAUCCAAAAAUAUUCCAUUGAUGAAGCUCAGAUGAGAUCAUCACCUCCGGCAAAUCCAUCUACAAUGUCAUCAUUAUCUUCUUCUUCCUCAAAGAAACAAGCCCUUUUCAUUACUUCCCUUAUUGUCCUCUGGUACUCCUCCAACAUUGGUGUUUUGCUUCUCAACAAGUUCUUGCUUUCUAACUAUGGCUUCAGGUUCCCAAUCUUCCUCACCAUGUGCCACAUGUCUGCUUGUGCCAUUCUCAGUUA